GGAGAGGUGCGUGAGCGGCUUAAACGGCACGCUUGGAAAGCGUGUGUACUUAACGGUACCCUGGGUUCGAAUCCCAGCCUCUCCGCCA
This 88-nucleotide transfer RNA is filed under the name Candidatus Omnitrophota bacterium. RNAcentral describes it as "tRNA-Ser". It matches the Rfam family "tRNA". From Rfam's summary of the family: Transfer RNA (tRNA) molecules are approximately 80 nucleotides in length. The record is from RNAcentral. Lineage: Bacteria; Pseudomonadati; Candidatus Omnitrophota.